This 746-nucleotide ribosomal RNA is filed under the name uncultured bacterium. Its description in RNAcentral is "bacterial SSU rRNA". It matches the Rfam family "Bacterial small subunit ribosomal RNA", at positions 61 to 803 of the family's 1533-position model. The record is from RNAcentral.
GUCGAGGGGCAGCGGGGUAGCAAUACCGCCGGCGACCGGCGCACGGGUGCGUAACGCGUAUGCAACCUGCCCUUUACACGGGGAUAGCCCUCCGAAAGGAGGAUUAAUACCCGAUGGUACCUUCGGAUGACAUCGUUUGGAGGUUAAAGAUUUUAUCGGUAAAGGAUGGGCAUGCGUCUGAUUAGCUAGUUGGAGGGGUAACGGCCCACCAAGGCGACGAUCAGUAGGGGUUCUGAGAGGAUGAUCCCCCACACCGGUACUGAGACACGGACCGGACUCCUACGGGAGGCAGCAGUAAGGAAUAUUGGUCAAUGGGCGGGAGCCUGAACCAGCCACGCCGCGUGCAGGAAGAAGGCCCUACGGGUUGUAAACUGCUUUUAUACGGGAAGAACGCCUUUCUUGCGAGGGAGGAUGACGGUACCGUAGGAAUAAGCAUCGGCUAACUCCGUGCCAGCAGCCGCGGUAAUACGGAGGAUGCAAGCGUUAUCCGGAUUCAUUGGGUUUAAAGGGUGCGUAGGCGGGCUUGUAAGUCAGGGGUGAAAUCCGGCGGCUCAACCGUCGAACUGCCUCUGAUACUGCAGGUCUUGAGUCGGCAUGAGGCAGGCGGAAUAUGACAUGUAGCGGUGAAAUGCAUAGAUAUGUCAUAGAACACCGAUAGCGAAGGCAGCCUGCCAAAGCCGUACUGACGCUGAUGCACGAAAGCGUGGGUAGCGAACAGGAUUAGAUACCCUGGUAGUCCACGCCGU